UUGGGUGAAAUCAAUGUGGGUCCCACACUUUGAAAAUGGGUCCCACAUAAAUUGAUGGGACCCACAUUGAUUUCAUCCAA
RNAcentral lists this microRNA precursor (80 nucleotides) under Medicago truncatula (barrel medic). RNAcentral describes it as "MIR5269 microRNA precursor family". It matches the Rfam family "MIR5269 microRNA precursor family". Lineage: Eukaryota; Viridiplantae; Streptophyta; Magnoliopsida; Fabales; Fabaceae. The record is from Rfam by way of RNAcentral.